This 718-nucleotide ribosomal RNA is filed under the name Ornithinimicrobium sp. RNAcentral's name for it is "bacterial SSU rRNA". It matches the Rfam family "Bacterial small subunit ribosomal RNA", at positions 314 to 1038 of the family's 1533-position model. The record is from RNAcentral. Lineage: Bacteria; Bacillati; Actinomycetota; Actinomycetes; Micrococcales; Ornithinimicrobiaceae.
UGGGACUGAGACACGGCCCNAGACUCCUACGGGAGGCAGCAGUGGGGAAUAUUGCACAAUGGGCGAAAGCCUGAUGCAGCGACGCCGCGUGAGGGAUGACGGCCUUCGGGUUGUAAACCUCUUUCAGCUCUGACGAAGCCUUCGGGUGACGGUAGGAGCAGAAGAAGCACCGGCUAACUACGUGCCAGCAGCCGCGGUAAUACGUAGGGUGCGAGCGUUGUCCGGAAUUAUUGGGCGUAAAGAGCUUGUAGGCGGUUUGUCGCGUCUGCUGUGAAAGCCCGGGGCUUAACCCCGGGUCUGCAGUGGGUACGGGCAGGCUAGAGUGUGGUAGGGGAGACUGGAAUUCCUGGUGUAGCGGUGGAAUGCGCAGAUAUCAGGAGGAACACCGAUGGCGAAGGCAGGUCUCUGGGCCACUACUGACGCUGAGAAGCGAAAGCGUGGGGAGCGAACAGGAUUAGAUACCCUGGUAGUCCACGCCGUAAACGUUGGGCGCUAGGUGUGGGUCCCAUUCCACGGKGUCCGUGCCGCAGCUAACGCAUUAAGCGCCCCGCCUGGGGAGUACGGCCGCAAGGCUAAAACUCAAAGGAAUUGACGGGGGNCCCGCWCAAGCGGCGGAGCAUGCGGAUUAAUUCGAUGCAACGCGAAGAACCUUACCAAGGCUUGACAUGUACCGGAAACUCCCAGNAGAUGGGNGGCCCCGCAARGUNCGGUACACAGG